AUGAAGGGGAGCUUGCUUCCUGGAUUAGUGGCGAACGGGUGAGUAACACGUGAGCAACCUGCCCCGGACUCUGGGAUAAGCGCUGGAAACGGUGUCUAAUACUGGAUAUGAGCCAUGACCGCAUGGUCUGUGGUUGGAAAGAUUUUUCGGUUCGGGAUGGGCUCGCGGCCUAUCAGCUUGUUGGUGAGGUAAUGGCUCACCAAGGCGUCGACGGGUAGCCGGCCUGAGAGGGUGAUCGGCCACACUGGGACUGAGACACGGCCCAGACUCCUACGGGAGGCAGCAGUGGGGAAUAUUGCACAAUGGGCGGAAGCCUGAUGCAGCAACGCCGCGUGGGGGAUGACGGCCUUCGGGUUGUAAACCUCUUUUAGCAGGGAAGAAGCGUGAGUGACGGUACCUGCAGAAAAAGCGCCGGCUAACUACGUGCCAGCAGCCGCGGUAAUACGUAGGGCGCAAGCGUUAUCCGGAAUUAUUGGGCGUAAAGAGCUCGUAGGCGGUUUGUCGCGUCUGCUGUGAAAUCCCGAGGCGCAACCUCGGGUCUGCAGUGGGUACGGGCAGACUAGAGUGCGGUAGGGGAGAUUGGAAUUCCUGGUGUAGCGGUGGAAUGCGCAGAUAUCAGGAGGAACACCGAUGGCGAAGGCAGAUCUCUGGGCCGUAACUGACGCUGAGGAGCGAAAGGGUGGGGAGCAAACAGGCUUAGAUACCCUGGUAGUCCACCCCGUAAACGUUGGGAACUAGUUGUGGGGUCCUUUCCACGGAUUCCGUGACGCAGCUAACGCAUUAAGUU
Molecule: ribosomal RNA, 787 nt
Filed under: uncultured Microbacterium sp.
Lineage: Bacteria; Bacillati; Actinomycetota; Actinomycetes; Micrococcales; Microbacteriaceae
Description: bacterial SSU rRNA
Rfam family: Bacterial small subunit ribosomal RNA
Source: RNAcentral